GAUGAACGCUGGCGGCGUGCUUAACACAUGCAAGUCGAACGAUGAACCGGGUGCUUGCACUCGGGGAUUAGUGGCGAACGGGUGAGUAACACGUGAGCAACCUGCCCCUGACUCUGGGAUAAGCGCUGGAAACGGCGUCUAAUACUGGAUAUGUCCCGUCACCGCAUGGUGUGCGGGUGGAAAGAUUUUUCGGUUGGGGAUGGGCUCGCGGCCUAUCAGCUUGUUGGUGAGGUAAUGGCUCACCAAGGCGUCGACGGGUAGCCGGCCUGAGAGGGUGACCGGCCACACUGGGACUGAGACACGGCCCAGACUCCUACGGGAGGCAGCAGUGGGGAAUAUUGCACAAUGGGCGGAAGCCUGAUGCAGCAACGCCGCGUGAGGGAUGACGGCCUUCGGGUUGUAAACCUCUUUUAGCAGGGAAGAAGCGAGAGUGACGGUACCUGCAGAAAAAGCUCCGGCUAACUACGCGCCGGCCGCCGCAGUAA
This 485-nucleotide ribosomal RNA is filed under the name uncultured bacterium. RNAcentral describes it as "partial 16S ribosomal RNA". It matches the Rfam family "Bacterial small subunit ribosomal RNA", at positions 28 to 523 of the family's 1533-position model. The record is from RNAcentral.